RNAcentral lists this ribosomal RNA (619 nucleotides) under uncultured bacterium. Its description in RNAcentral is "bacterial SSU rRNA". It matches the Rfam family "Bacterial small subunit ribosomal RNA", at positions 69 to 724 of the family's 1533-position model. The record is from RNAcentral.
CCGACGCACCUUCGGGUGUUUAGGAGUGGCAGACGGGUGAGUAACGCGUGGGAACCUACCUUUAGGUACGGAAUAACGCAGGGAAACUUGUGCUAAUACCGUAUGAUCCCUUCGGGGCAAAGAUUUAUCGCCUAAAGAUGGGCCCGCGUUAGAUUAGCUAGUUGGUGAGGUAAUGGCUCACCAAGGCGACGAUCUAUAGCUGGUUUGAGAGGAUGAUCAGCCACACUGGAACUGAGACACGGUCCAGACUCCUACGGGAGGCAGCAGUGGGGAAUCUUGCACAAUGGGCGAAAGCCUGAUGCAGCCAUGCCGCGUGAGUGAAGAAGGCCUUAGGGUUGUAAAGCUCUUUCGCUAGGGAUGAUAAUGACAGUACCUAGUAAAGAAGUUCCGGCUAACUCCGUGCCAGCAGCCGCGGUAAUACGGAGGGAACUAGCGUUGUUCGGAAUUACUGGGCGUAAAGCGCGCGUAGGCGGACCAAUCAGUCAGAGGUGAAAUCCCGGGGCUUAACCUCGGAACUGCCUUUGAUACUGUUGGUCUAGAGUUCGAGAGAGGUAAGUGGAAUUCCCAGUGUAGAGGUGAAAUUCGUAGAUAUUGGGAAGAACACCAGUGGCGAAGGCGG